This 253-nucleotide ribosomal RNA is filed under the name uncultured bacterium. RNAcentral describes it as "partial 16S ribosomal RNA". It matches the Rfam family "Bacterial small subunit ribosomal RNA", at positions 524 to 776 of the family's 1533-position model. The record is from RNAcentral.
UACAGAGGUCCCAAGCGUUGUUCGGAUUCACUGGGCGUAAAGGGUGCGUAGGUGGCUGGGUAAGUUUGAUGUGAAAUCUCCGAGCCUAACUCGGAAACUGCAUUGAAUACUAUUUAGCUAGAGGAUUGGAGGGGAGACUGGAAUACUUGGUGUAGCAGUGAAAUGCGUAGAUAUCAAGUGGAACACCAGUGGCGAAGGCGAGUCUCUGGACAACUCCUGACACUGAGGCACGAAAGCUAGGGGAGCAAACAGG